CAAGCUUCCACUUUGCUUUCUGUUUAUGGCAUUAAGCUGACUGCGGACACUGUUGUAUUCUGAAGCACGAACCUUCAUGUCAUCCUCAAUUUUGGCAACCAGAACAUGAAUGUUAUCCACAAUCUCCCUCAGAGGUGCCAUUGUGGGGUACUUAGCUUCAUCCCAUGCAAACCUAGUAAGGUAGGUAUCGACAGGCACCCCAUCCACCGUCAGACUGCCGCCGUCAAUACCCGA
RNAcentral lists this unclassified non-coding RNA (234 nucleotides) under Hevea brasiliensis (rubber tree). The record is from RNAcentral. Lineage: Eukaryota; Viridiplantae; Streptophyta; Magnoliopsida; Malpighiales; Euphorbiaceae.